This 607-nucleotide ribosomal RNA is filed under the name Salmonella enterica. RNAcentral's name for it is "partial 23S ribosomal RNA". It matches the Rfam family "Bacterial large subunit ribosomal RNA", at positions 711 to 1315 of the family's 2925-position model. The record is from RNAcentral. Lineage: Bacteria; Pseudomonadati; Pseudomonadota; Gammaproteobacteria; Enterobacterales; Enterobacteriaceae.
AGACCCGAAACCCGGUGAUCUAGCCAUGGGCAGGUUGAAGGUUGGGUAACACUAACUGGAGGACCGAACCGACUAAUGUUGAAAAAUUAGCGGAUGACCUGUGGCUGGGGGUGAAAGGCCAAUCAAACCGGGAGAUAGCUGGUUCUCCCCGAAAGCUAUUUAGGUAGCGCCUCGUGAAUUCAUCUCCGGGGGUAGAGCACUGUUUCGGCUAGGGGGCCAUCCCGGCUUACCAACCCGAUGCAAACUGCGAAUACCGGAGAAUGUUAUCACGGGAGACACACGGCGGGUGCUAACGUCCGUCGUGAAGAGGGAAACAACCCAGACCGCCAGCUAAGGUCCCAAAGUCAUGGUUAAGUGGGAAACGAUGUGGGAAGGCCCAGACAGCCAGGAUGUUGGCUUAGAAGCAGCCAUCAUUUAAAGAAAGCGUAAUAGCUCACUGGUCGAGUCGGCCUGCGCGGAAGAUGUAACGGGGCUAAACCAUGCACCGAAGCUGCGGCAGCGACACUGUGUGUUGUUGGGUAGGGGAGCGUUCUGUAAGCCUGUGAAGGUGUGUCGUGAGGCAUGCUGGAGGUAUCAGAAGUGCGAAUGCUGACAUAAGUAACGAUAA